GUGAACAACAAAUCUGUCAUUUCAAAGGAGGUCACUGAUGCUAGUGCUUAAGUAAUAGGUAAUUUCAUUUUCAGUUCUCUUGGCAAAACCCACAACAAUAUUAUUUUAUAUUCUGCAAAAUACUUACAUUUUUAGAGACGCGUAAUGAUUUAAACAACACUAAGCAAAACUAAGCUGUUUAAAAUAAAUGAAAUGACAGUAAAAUUAGGAAACUGAAAUGUUUCACCUGUUGGAGGAGUAAUGAGCAAAAGCAAAAUCCUUCAAAGCUAUUUGACAACUUUUGUGAAAUUUAGCAAUAUUUUCUGUUCUAUUCAAAGCCUUUUUUUAAGGAAAUGAAGCACUUCCACAGUUGGUAUUAUUAAGACUGUUAAAGAAUGGUUCAUUGGCCAAGCAGUGGUAGAAGAGAGAUUACUUUUGAAAAGCGCCGAAGUAGAAAAGUAUUUGAUGAGGAAAAAUGUUAUACUGUAGAAAAUUCACAGUAUAAUGUGAAUGCUACUGACAUGCAACUGCCAUGUAUGGUGUACUUCUGUACUCCUGGACCUGCAAGGCUUCCUUCAGUGUCUCACAAGACAAAGAUCAACAAAAUGUGUGGUGGACUCAGCAAGAGGGUGCCAGGCUACUAUUGGGAUAUCAAAGUAAUUAUCUCCUCCAAGGAAGAGGAAGUAUCCAUUACUGGUCAAUCUAUUCCAAAGUUCCUUUGGUAUCAGUCAGCGUUUAUGGAGAAAUAAUUAGUUUAUCGUAGUAAACUGAAGGGAUGAAUAUGCCACUGUAAAACUAGAAAUGAAGUUAUGAAGACAGAAAACACACCACCUACAUACUAGAAUUCAGCUGCAUCCUCACGUAUCUAUGUCUCUGGUGCCCCCCGCCCCAGCACAACAUCCAACCACAAGAGACGCAAGCUGACUGCAAUGUGUCCUCAUUCAUCUGGAAAUCCGACCAGCACGCUCUCUGCUGUGGGAACGGCAGAGCUGAUUCCCACCACGUCUCCCAAGCCGGUCGGUUCUCCUUUUGUGAGCUGCAGAACUCCGUAAACGAUACGCCUGUUAAACUUGUUAGCGCCGCGCACAGCGGGCGGAGCGGAGGACAGCGCGGCCGCCCUCACCACAGAUCGCC
This is a long non-coding RNA of Gallus gallus (chicken), 1113 nucleotides long. The record is from Ensembl. NCBI's taxonomy places the organism in Eukaryota, Metazoa, Chordata, Aves, Galliformes, Phasianidae.